UACGUAGGGUGCAAGCGUUGUCCGGAAUUAUUGGGCGUAAAGGGCUCGUAGGCGGCCAACUAAGUCAUACGUGAAAUCCCUCAGCUUAACUGGGGAACUGCGUGUGAUACUGGAUGGCUUGGAUUUGGGAGAGGGAUGCGGAAUUCCAGGUGUAGCGGUGGAAUGCGCAGAUAUCAGGAGGAACACCGGUGGCGAAGGCGGGUCUCUGGGCAGUAACUGACGCUGAGGAGCGAAAGCGUGGGGAGCGAACAGG
RNAcentral lists this ribosomal RNA (253 nucleotides) under uncultured bacterium. RNAcentral describes it as "partial 16S ribosomal RNA". It matches the Rfam family "Bacterial small subunit ribosomal RNA", at positions 524 to 776 of the family's 1533-position model. The record is from RNAcentral.